This 484-nucleotide ribosomal RNA is filed under the name uncultured bacterium. Its description in RNAcentral is "partial 16S ribosomal RNA". It matches the Rfam family "Bacterial small subunit ribosomal RNA", at positions 30 to 507 of the family's 1533-position model. The record is from RNAcentral.
AUUGAACGCUGGCGGCAGGCCUAACACAUGCAAGUCGAGCGGUGGAAGGGAGCAUGCUUAUGGAUUCAACGGCGGACGAGUGAGUAAUUCCUAGGAAUCGGCCUGGUAGUGGGGGAUAACGUCCGGAAACGGGCGCUAAUACCGCAUACGUUCAAAGGGAGAAAGAGGAGGAUCUUGGGACCACACGCUAUUAGAUUAGCCUAGGUCGGAUUAGCUAGUGGGUGGGGUAGAGGCCUACCAAGGCGACGACCCGUAACUGGUCUGAGAGGUUGAUCAGUCACACUGGACUUGAGACCCGCUCCAACUUCCUCCGGGAGCCAGAAGUGGGGAAUUUUGGACAUUGGGCGAAGUCUUGCCGCAGCCAUGCCGCGUGGGUGAAGAAGUUCUUCGGAUUGUAAACCACUUUAGGUUGGGAGGACGGGCAGUAGGUUAAUACCUUCCUGUUUUGACGUUACCAGCAGAAUAAGCACCGGCUAACUUCGUG